GUCGAAGCGGAUUGGUCAAGCAGGGGAAGCCAUGGCGGACCAUAGCAACAAAAGCUGUACAAAGCAGCAGACGGGUCCGUUUAUUAAGGUCAGGGCUGAGAACCACCACCUUUUUACUGGAGCUAAAAACUCAGCCACCGUGGCUUGGAGGACAAUUCUGGAGAAGAUGGACCAACAGGGGAAGGUCACCCCUUUGCAGGACAAAACAAUGUG
Girardinichthys multiradiatus is the source of this 213-nucleotide long non-coding RNA. RefSeq lists it as uncharacterized. NCBI's taxonomy places the organism in Eukaryota, Metazoa, Chordata, Actinopteri, Cyprinodontiformes, Goodeidae. The transcript is spliced from 3 exons. The record is from RefSeq and is a predicted model, not a curated record.